This 6349-nucleotide long non-coding RNA is filed under the name Mytilus galloprovincialis (Mediterranean mussel). Lineage: Eukaryota; Metazoa; Mollusca; Bivalvia; Mytilida; Mytilidae. The record is from RNAcentral.
UUUCUAGGUGUACAACUGUGCAAGUAUUGAACAUCAGCUUGAAAUGCAAUGUGACCUAAAAGACAGCAUAAUAAUGGACAGAUGUAAGUAAUGAUAAAAUAGUCAAUGAUAUGGGAAAUGUAUGAAAUGAAAUUGUAAGAAAAAAGUUGACAGACAUAUUGUUUUACACCUGUCCCUCCGUCGGUCAGUUAGCUAUAGGUCAAAGUACAGCCUUCAACAAUGAGCAAAGCUCAUACUGCAUAGUCAUAUAUAUAAGGCCCUGAAAUUACAAUUGUAAAACAAUUCAGAACUAAUGACCUUAAUAUUAAUAUACAAAUAAAAUAACUAAAAACAAAUAUAUGCAACACAGCAACAUACAACAACCACUGAUUGUCCAGGUUCCUGACUUGGGACAGGCACAGAAGAUGGCAGGAUUAAACAUGUCAGCGGGAUCCAAGCCCUCAUAAAAUCAUGUAUUUUAGAUAUUCACCUCAAGAAAAUCUGAUAUAUCAGAAAUGUAAUUAACAUCAACCAUUGUCAACACUUUUAAAUGUUGUAUUUAACUUUAUUUGAUUUAUGCUUAUACAAAGAAGAUGUGGUAUGAUUGCCAAUGAGACAACUCUCCACAAGAGACCAAAUGACACAGAAAUUAACAACUUAAGGUCACUGUACUGCCUUCAACAAUGAGGAAAGCCCAUACCACAUAGUCAGCUAUAAAAGCCCCCAAAAUGACAAAUGUAAAACAAGAAAACAAAAAAACUAACUGCCUAAUUUAUGUACAAAAAAUGAACAAAAAAACAAAUAUAUGUAACACAUCAACAAAUGACAACCACUGCAUUAUAGGCUCCUGACUUGGAACAGGCACAUACAUUACAUUGUACCUUAAUAUUUUAAUUCACAUAUUGGUAUAAAAUCUAUUAUGUUUUUAUACGACCCCAAUUUUUUUUUUGGAUUGUAUAAUGGUAUGAUGUCGUGGUCGUCGUCGUCCGAAGACACAUUGUUUUCCGGAUAAUAACUUUAGUUUAAGUGAAUAGAUCUUUAUGAAAUUUUCUCAGAAGGUUCAAAGUACCACAAAAGGAAGGUUGGUAUCAAUUUUGUGGAUGAUGGUCCCAACCGUUUAGGAAUUAGGGGCCCAAAAAGGGGCCCAAAACAAGCAUUUUUGUCGAGUCUUCGACUUUUGUCGAAAAAGCGAGACUAAGCGAUCCUACAUUCCGUGACAAAUACUCUGGUUAAAGUUUUUGAAAUUUUAAUAACUUUCUUAAACUAUACUGAAUUUCUACCAAACUUGGACAGAACCUUGUUUAUGAUCAUAAGAAAGUAUCCAGAAGUAAAUUUUGUAAAAAUAAAAUUCCAUUUUUUCUGUAUUUUACUUAUAAAUGGACUUAGUUUUUCUGCGAGGAAACAUUACAUUCACUCGGUGGUUAAAGUUUUUGAAAUUUUAAUAACUUUUAUAAACUAUCCUUGAUUUGUACCAAACUUGGAAAGAAGCUUGUUAAUAUGAUCAUAAGAUAGUACUAUCAAGAAGAAAAUUUUGUAAAAAAAAAUUUCCACUUUUCCAUAUUUUACUUAUAAAUGGACUUAGUUUUUUUUGCCAGAAACAAAACAUUCACUCUGUGGUUUAAGUUUUCAAAAUUUUUAUUAUAAUGUUCUUAAACUAUCCUGGAUUUCUACCAAACUUAGACAAAAGCUUGUUUCUGAUCAUAAGAUAUUAUUCAGAAGUAGAUUUUGUAAAAAGAAAAAACUUUUUCCAUAUUUUACUUAUAAAUGGACUUAGUUUUUCUUCCAGUUAACAUUACAUACAGUCUGCAGUUAAAGUUUAUAAAACAUUUAUUAGAUUCAUAAACUAUCCUGGAUUUUUUUACCAAACUUGUAAGCUUCUUUCAAUCAAAAGACAGUAUCGAGAGGGAAAUUUUUAUUGAUGUUUUUCCUUAUUUUUGUUGAGUCUGCGAUUAACAGCAAAAGUAGGCGAGACACUGGGUUCCGUGGAACCCUUACGAAUUUUUCUAGUUUCAGGAUAAUAACUUAAUAUACUUGUGAGUAUUUAAAUUGCUCUGAAAUUAUACCUCAAUGUUGAGACCACAAGUAGAAGGUUAUGAUUCAUUUGAGGGGUUAUGGGGCCAAAGUUUAGGAAUUAAGGGCCAAAAAGGGGCCAAAACAAGCAUUUUUAUAGAAGCUUCCCUUCUGUUAAGGGGUAUUUUAAGGGGCAUAAAGAGGGGAGGGGUUACACUAUGGGAUUUUAUUUAAAAAAAAAUUCAAAUGACUUGAAAACUGUAAGUGAUAAACCCAUGCAGUCUUCAGAAAUGAUCACAGGACAAUAAAACAAAUCAAAUGAAAUAUAGGGUGAGUCCCUGGGGGAAACCCCCACCCUCUUCAAUUUGAGAAUGUGCUAUUAUCUUGUAAACUGUCCAGAUCCCCACCCCUAAACCAUAUAUAUUCUUGUAUGGGACAAUAAAACAAAUCAUAUAAAAUAAAAGGGAAGUCCCUGGGGUCACCCCUAACCCCUCUUGUUUGAGAACUUGUAAACGAUCAAGAUCCCCACUCCUAAACCAUAUAUAUUCUUGCAUGGGACAAUAAAACAAAUCAAAUGAAAGAAAUGGGAAUUCCCUAGGGGUCAUUCCCACCCCCUCUUGUUUGAAAACUUGUAAAUGGUCCAGAUCCCAACCCAUAAACCAUAUAUAUAUUCUUGCAAGGGACAAUUAAAUAAAUGAAAUGAAAUAAAAGGAAUUUCUCUGGUGUUCACCCCUACCCCCUCUUGUUUGAAAACUUGUUAACCAUCCAGAACCCCACCCCUAAACCAUAUAUAUUCUCGUAUGGGACAAUUAAACAAAUCAAAUGAAAUAAAAGGGAAGUCCUUCAGGUUUACCCCCACCCCCUCUUGUUUGAGAACUUGUAAACGGUUCAGAUCCCUACCCCUAAACCAUAUAUAUUCUUGAAUGGGACAAUUUAACAAAUCAAACCAAAUAUAGGGGGAGUCUAUGGGGUUACCCCACACCCUUUUGUUAGAAUACUUGUAAACAGUAGAGAUCCCCACCUCUAAAACAUUCUAAACCUUAUAUAUUCUUGUAUGGGAUAAUAAAACAAAUCUAAUAAAAUAUGGGACCAUGGAAAUGGCUAAUUAUGGGAGCUUUGUUUGGGAGACUUCGUAACAGCAUCCUGUUACAAUUACUUCUUGUUUAUUACAUAUUUUAGUGUAUUAAAGUAAUUAUACUGCUUCCACCUUUCAAAAUUCUAAGAAAGCUCUAUCUCUUUAAUGGAUAAAUAAAUGAAACUAGUCAAGAACUCAACAGAUAAUUUUUUUUCAGGUUCUCUGAUUGUAAGUACCUGUUGGCCACACACAUGAAUACUCUCAUUGAUCCUGCAUUCAGCUAAAUAUCAGAAAAAUUAAGAACAAAGGAAAAUAUGCUGAAACUGUACAGUCACUGACCAGUCAGGAUUAUUUCAGAAGUGCAAUUAUAAUACAAUAUAUGUUACUGGUUAAUUCCUAUGAUUUGUAAAUUUAAACAACACACAGAGGCUUUGCAUUAUUGUUUUACAAGAAAGACACCAAAAGAUGCAGUCAACAUUUAUCAUUUUUAUCAAAAUACGCCCAGGACAAACCAUGGGUACACUUAGCUUGAAAGAUGGUGCUUUCAUACCAAAAUUUCCUGGAAGUAAAAGAAAUAAAGAACCAAAAUUCAUGUCAGCAAUCAGGGGAUAAGAUGAAAGAAUACAGAAUAAGGUACUGUCAUGUUCAGUCUUUAUAAGAGUCCUGAUGCUCUAUAUAUAUACAAAUGUAUAUGCAUUUUGUUAUGCCCCGUCAUAGUGGUGGGGCAUUUAGUUUUAUCCUUGUAUGUUUGUACAUAAUAUUAGAUUUAAGAAGAUGUGGUAUGACUCCCAAUGAGACAACUCUCCAUCCAAGUCACAAUUUGUAAAAGAAAAACCAUUAUAAAUAGGUCAAAGUACAGUCUUCAACACAUGUACAGAGCCUUGGAUCACACCCAACAGUAAGCUAUUAUUAAUUUAAGGACCCAAAAAAUUAUUAGUGUGCAACCAGCUUUCAAACAUUAAACCAAAGGUUUAUUCUAUAUGAAAAAAAGAAAAGAGAAACACUUAUAGUGCAUGAUUUUCUCACUGUGUUGAAGACCCAUUGGUGGACUUUGGUUGUUGUCUGCACUUUGGUCGGGUUGUUGACAUAUAUUCCCAGCAUUUCCAUUCUCAAUUUUAUUAAGAAGUUAUUGAACUUUAUUCUUUGAAAAUGUGAUGGAGGUAUCAUGUGCACAUGGCGCAUCUGUUUAUUUGUUUUAGUUCACUAUAAACUUAAGUUUGCUUAACCAAAUGUACUGAAACUUAUACACAAUGCUUAUAACCACAAAACUCAGAUCAAGUACUCAUUUGGGUACUGUGUGUCACUUUUGACCCCUUAAAAUGUUAUAUGCAAGCAGGGGCAUAAUCUGUGUCCCAUGGACCCAUUCACCAUUUAUUUAUUCACAGAAUUUUGAAAGGAAUAAAUAAUCCAUGAUGUUCAUAUAGAUAAAACAUAUUGUAACGUUUCAAGAAUUUUUAUCUGUUUAUUACAGAUCAUGAUUGCCAAUGAGACAACUAUCCACCAAAGUUUGAAUAAAGUGGAUAUAAGCAGUUUUAGGUAACUGUACACCCUUAUGAAUGAUAAAAACCUGUACUGUAUAUAUUGUCCGCUAUAAAAGGUCCCGUAACAAGAAAAAAUAUGAACAAAAACAUUUGAGAAAACUAACGGCCUAAUUUAUAUAAUUUAUAACAAAACAAGUAGCAAAAAUCAAAUGUAUAACAUAAGUAAACCAACGACUUCUAUGGAAUUUCUGGCUCCUGACUUGGGACAGGCACACAAAGAAUGUGGCAGGUUAAACAAAUUUUUGGUUGCUCAACCCUCCCCUAACCUGGGACAGUGGUGUUACAGCACAACAUAAGAACAAACUAUAAAAAUCAGUUGAAAAGGUUUUAUCAUAUUUGUAUCUAUAGGUCAACUGUCUUGAAAUGAUCAACAAGUGAUUGUAGAAUUGAAUAACCAAAAACACACAAACAUCUACUGUCAAUACCAAAUUCCCCAAAACAAAAGCUUUAAGGGGGAUCGCAGGCAUAAAACAAUUUUUGUUUUUAAACAUAGAAUUUUGCUAUUUUUUUUCUAGAAAUAAACUUUAUAUAUAUAUCCUAUACUUAAAUAGAAAAAUAAAAGUAUAGGGUCACCGUUCAUUAAAGCUCACAAUCUGCCUUCGAAAGAAGCAUGUAUUUUUUUGCUAAGUACCUUUUACUGUAGAACUAAAACAUGUAAUAGGACAAAAUGUAAGAGGAAAAAAAUGUAAUUUCAAAAUAUAAAGAACUAAAUUACAGAAAUUGCUUUAAAUUUUACAAUAGUUGAGUUUUAGUACAGCUUAUUUUGAGAAAAAAUAAUGAAAAAUAUAAGUCACCCAUGAGUUGAAAAAGAUGUUUCAAUUUUAAUGCCAAAAAAUGGCAUUUUUUCAUCUAAGGGAGAUAAUUUAGAGCUUUUUCAGUGGUAUGAACAUUUCAAAAAUCAUCUGGGGCCAAAACAAAUAGAUUUUUUGGUUGAUUUUUUUACCAUAUCAUAUAUUAACCUCUAAUAGUAUAAGAGAUAAAAUUUGUAAUGAAAAAAAAAAUGUUUAAAUUUUUGCUGAAUUUUUAUACCCUCAAACAUCCUUAAGAUACAACUUUAGGUGACAGGAAAUGUCUUGACUUAAGAAAGCCACAUGCAAACUCAAUGUUGCUCCCCUUGUAUAUCUCGAUUUGUGUUUUUAAAAAGAAAAAAAGUUAACAUAAAAGAAUGCAGGUUGUCAGGAACAUUCAAUUGGAGAAAGGGAAAAGAACACAACUUUACACUAAAUAAUUUUGAAAACUUAUUGCCUAUACUAUCUUUAUUGAUAACAGACUGAGCCAAAAACGUUUUCAUCUACUAGUACGGACACUAAAUAUCAAAACUUGUGCCUAUAUAACUAUAUAAAAUUUUAAUAAUAUAUACUAGUCCGAAUCAAUAUUUACUGGUCUGGGGCAUUGGACUAGUGGCUAACAGUGCAGACUGUGAUAAAAAAAAUUCAGAAACAUUAUGUACAUUAUGAUCAUUGUGAUUGUGUUAAACAUCAGACAAGGCAAUCAAAAUGGUCAGAGGGGGCAAAGAAGUUUUGUUAUAAAUGUCAAAUGGUUAUAGUCUCAACCUAUCAACAUGAUCAAAAUUGUUGAUUUCACAGUUAAUAUUUACUUUUAGCAUGUUCAGCGGAAUAGAAUGCUUUUGUUAUAUUUUAUUAAAUGUUAAUUUACUUUGUUCUUAUAGGCAGGAGUGAAAGGAAGAGAAAACAAGGCAUCAGUAAAGAAGCAGAUCAAUUUAUAUUGAUAUGUAAUAAUUCCA